UCGAGAAUAGUCUACAAUGGACGGAAGUCUGAUAGUGCGACGCCGCGUGAACGAAGAAUCCCUUCGGGGUGUAAAGUUCUUUUAUACGUGAGCAGUGCCCUUUAUAUGAAUAGUAUAGAGGGAGGGAUUUAAGCGUAUGAAUAAGCAACGGCUAACUCCGUGCCAGCAGCCGCGGUAACACGGGGGUUGCAAGCGUUGUCCGGAAUUACUAGGCGUAAAGUGCAGGUAGGCGGAUAGAUAAGUUUAAGGUUAAAGGCUACGGCUUACCCGUAGUAAGGCGUUAGAUACUGUUUAUCUGGAAUGCGGUUGAGGGAGACAGAAUUCCUGGUGUAGCGGUGGAAUGCGCAGAGAUCAGGAGGAAUACCGAAGGCGAAGGCAGUCUUCUAAGCCGAUAUUGACGCUAAACUGCGAAGGUGUGGGGAUCAAACA
Molecule: ribosomal RNA, 429 nt
Filed under: uncultured prokaryote
Description: bacterial SSU rRNA
Rfam family: Bacterial small subunit ribosomal RNA
Source: RNAcentral